UGAGGAAUAUUGGACAAUGGGCGCAAGCCUGAUCCAGCCAUGCCGCGUGCAGGAAGACGGUCCUAUGGAUUGUAAACUGCUUUUGUACGGGAAGAAACACUCCUACGUGUAGGAGCUUGACGGUACCGUAAGAAUAAGGAUCGGCUAACUCCGUGCCAGCAGCCGCGGUAAUACGGAGGAUCCAAGCGUUAUCCGGAAUCAUUGGGUUUAAAGGGUCCGUAGGCGGUCAGAUAAGUCAGUGGUGAAAGCCCAUCGCUCAACGAUGGAACGGCCAUUGAUACUGUCUGACUUGAAUUAUUAGGAAGUAACUAGAAUAUGUAGUGUAGCGGUGAAAUGCUUAGAUAUUACAUGGAAUACCAAUUGCGAAGGCAGGUUACUACUAAUGGAUUGACGCUGAUGGACGAAAGCGUGGGGAGCGAACA
Molecule: ribosomal RNA, 422 nt
Filed under: uncultured Flavobacterium sp.
Lineage: Bacteria; Pseudomonadati; Bacteroidota; Flavobacteriia; Flavobacteriales; Flavobacteriaceae
Description: bacterial SSU rRNA
Rfam family: Bacterial small subunit ribosomal RNA
Source: RNAcentral